Molecule: transfer RNA, 62 nt
Filed under: Agrilus planipennis (emerald ash borer)
Lineage: Eukaryota; Metazoa; Arthropoda; Insecta; Coleoptera; Buprestidae
Rfam family: tRNA
About the family: Transfer RNA (tRNA) molecules are approximately 80 nucleotides in length. Their secondary structure includes four short double-helical elements and three loops (D, anti-codon, and T loops). Further hydrogen bonds mediate the characteristic L-shaped molecular structure. tRNAs have two regions of fundamental functional importance: the anti-codon, which is responsible for specific mRNA codon recognition, and the 3' end, to which the tRNAs corresponding amino acid is attached (by aminoacyl-tRNA synthetases). tRNAs cope with the degeneracy of the genetic code in two manners: having more than one tRNA (with a specific anti-codon) for a particular amino acid; and 'wobble' base-pairing, i.e. permitting non-standard base-pairing at the 3rd anti-codon position.
Source: Rfam by way of RNAcentral
UUGUAGCUAAAUGGCAGAGUACUGUUGCGUAAAACCAGGAGCCCGGGUUCGAUUCCCGGCAA